UGGGGAAUAUUGCACAAUGGGCGCAAGCCUGAUGCAGCCAUGCCGCGUGUAUGAAGAAGGCCUUCGGGUUGUAAAGUACUUUCAGCGGGGAGGAAGGGAGUAAAGUUAAUACCUUUGCUCAUUGACGUUACCCGCAGAAGAAGCACCGGCUAACUCCGUGCCAGCAGCCGCGGUAAUACGGAGGGUGCAAGCGUUAAUCGGAAUUACUGGGCGUAAAGCGCACGCAGGCGGUUUGUUAAGUCAGAUGUGAAAUCCCCGGGCUCAACCUGGGGACUGCAUCUGAGACUGGCAAGCUUGAGUCUCGUAGAGAGGGGUAGAAUUCCAGGUGUAGCGGUGAAAUGCGUAGAGAUCUGGAGGAAUACCGGUGGCGAAGGCGGCCCCCUGGACGAAGACUGACGCUCAGGUGCGAAAGCGUGGGGAGCAAACAGG
This 429-nucleotide ribosomal RNA is filed under the name Chloroflexota bacterium. RNAcentral's name for it is "Chloroflexi bacterium partial 16S ribosomal RNA". It matches the Rfam family "Bacterial small subunit ribosomal RNA", at positions 355 to 776 of the family's 1533-position model. The record is from RNAcentral. Lineage: Bacteria; Bacillati; Chloroflexota.